UUUUCAUCAAGGAGGAACUUGGGAAUGACUGGGUUAACAACCACAUGUUCAGGAUUGGAGCAUCAGGUCUCUUGACCGAUAUUGAGCGUCAACUCUUCCACUAUGUGUAUGGGCGCUACGCAGCUGCAUCAGAGCUUCCCAUGGCCUAGAAGACUUUCCUUAAUCCUUUGAGGGUUGACAGGCCCUCUCCGAGACUCGUUCUCAGGGUCGGCCAAAUUUCAAAAAAAAAAAAAAAAAAUUCUUAUGAGAAGAUAGAAAAUCUUUUCCCUAUCAUAAUCACCAAAAAUAUGAAAUUUGAUGGAAAACUUAGGGAAUUAUGCUCUUGCGAAGUUAGCGGUCUCGGCGAUGUUCACGUAUCGGCGAUUUUGCCCACUUUGAGCCCUGUUUUCGGCCAAUUCCACUGUACUAGUCGACAAAAAACAUGAAUAUUUCGCUAGAACUCCAUUGUUUCUAUUGAAUGAGUGCAAGAAACCACCCAUUUACCAAUUUCAACUGUCCAGUACAGUGGUCAGAAUUUAGCAAUUUUGCCAAUUUCACACAUAUUUCAAAAGAUGCCAAUUUCCAAAUAGGGUCCAGAAUAAACAAGAAAGACAUUCCUGGCACUAAAAUGACAUUUCCUCUGUUCAUUAGUCAUGUCCCAAGGGCCCCCUUACAUUCUUUUGCUUUCCACUUUGAAUUUUUAUUCUCACAAAAAAUAGAAGAUUUACUGUUAUGCAGACUACUGCAUUAGUGUAAAAAAUGGUAUAAAUAAUAUUGGCGCACUUGCGAAAGAAUAUUAGACUCACCAGUUGACGUGUAUUGGACGCUUGGCAUGAUUUGUUUACUUUUGAACUUUGGUAAAAAUCAAACAUUUCUGCUAGUUUGAGCUCAAUUUCAAGGUACUUUUCAUUGUAAAACCAGUCAAAAUCAUCUCAAUUUCUGUAAUAUGUCUUCCAUUCUAUAAAAUGAGACCAAGAAAACUAGAAUACAACAAUAAAUACCAUAUGAAAAUACAGUGCAAAGUCACUGUUUUAUUCCAAAAACACGGUCAAAGUUUUUUUUUUCCUCAUUAUACACUGUGUGCUGCAGGAUUUUUUUUAUUCUGCACACACUGACCACAUAGGCCCAUUCUUUCAUAUGUAUGCCUACCAGUUUUCUCCCACUAGAUUUGAGGGCGCUAGAAUUUAGGCGUACUGGUACAUCAAAAACCCUGGGUCGUAAGCCAUACUAGUACGGCCGAAACCCUCAAAGGGUUAAGCAGGAUAUGACAGCAUCCUCAACACCUGCUGUUUCUUUGUCACUCUGGCUGAUUGCUUCCGAGUAUGAUGUUACAUAAUAUCUUAAGGCAGGAAGAAUCUUCAAUAAUUAUGCAGUACAUUUAUGAGUGAAUUUGAUUUUGUUAAAGAUUAUUACUAAUGCUAUACUUAAAUUUGUUUAUGCAGAAAUGGGCAUUCCCAAAAAUGUCAGAAGCAAAUCAUUAUUUUUAAGUAUGUAACUUUGUCAUAAUAGCAUUAAUUUUUGUGGUGAUGUAGGACUUAAGUACAAAUGAAGACAUUCCAAAAGUGUUUUGUUUUAAUCCUGUAGCUCAGUGCAACACCAUUUAUGGCAUUUUUCAACAUGUUUCCCACCAUUUCAGGAUGACCAAGAGAAGAAAAUACAUAUACAGUUACUUACUCCCAAGUUAUCUUUCUGGAAGUGCUUGUACAUUACCAUAAGUAUAAAAUGUAUUAACAGUCUUGGAGUACCUCAUCUCAUGGCUCUGGAAUCCUCGUCAUGAGUAUAAUCAGCUGUCUCUCACCAAGUUAGGGUGACCCAAAAAGAGGACACACAUCACUCAUUCAAUAGCUUUUUUGCCAGUAGUGCACAGACAUCACAAUUCAAAUGACCCUCUGAACAACAAGAUCCUCUCCCCUCCUUCAGAGUGCAGGUACUGUACUUUACCUCCAUGACUCUUGUCCAGCUAACCAUUUUACCCCUAAAUUCAUAUACGUUACCUUGCUCACACUCCGAGAGCAUAUCAAAUCAUACAAACCACUUAUCUCCACUCUGAGUUAAUACACUCACACAAGCAUGUUGAAUGCUCAAGUCCCUAGCAAUCAAAACCUGUUUCUCUCCAACCCUUCCUGGGAUGAUCCCAGCUUUCUUCCAUCCCUUAUUCUUACACACUCUUGGUCAUCCUAUGCUGCUUUAUCCUCCCCAAGUGCCUAAGCCCUCUGAAUUAUACCCUUGGAAACUCCACACCAUAUUUGUAUUUGUACAUGCCAAAUUUUCUACAUAAUAUAUAUAGGAAAGCUGUGAUUUCGUGUAUAGGGCAAGGAGGAAUAACAUCUUGUAGGAGUGAGGAAGAGCCAGUUGUGAGUGUGGGGGAAGUUCGUGAGGCAGUAGGUAAAAUGAAAAGGGGUAAGGCAGCUGGGAUUGACGGGAUAAAGAUAGAAAUGUUAAAAGCAGGUGGGGAUAUAGUUUUGGAGUGGUUGGUGCAAUUAUUUAAUAAAUGUAUGGAAGAGGGUAAGGUACCUAGGGAUUGGCAGAGAGCAUGCAUAGUUACU
Non-coding RNA from Cherax quadricarinatus, 2525 nucleotides. The record is from RefSeq and is a predicted model, not a curated record. Lineage: Eukaryota; Metazoa; Arthropoda; Malacostraca; Decapoda; Parastacidae.